CAGACGUGGGCUGUGUUUUUGAGGUGAUCUGCAGCUGCAGAAAUAAGCCUGGGCAAGGGUUUUGUGGGCUGCCCCAGCCUGCACGGCCUGUGCCCCAUCUGCUGUGCUCACAAGGCAGCCUGGGAGCGCCGGGGCGGCCGUGGGCUCCUUCCCUCCCGGCAGCUCUUGUUUACUCUUAAACAACCUUGAAGAAGAGACGCUGCUUUGUGUUCACAGAGCCGUGUGCCGAAACAAUUUCAUUUGAACACAUAUACAUAAAGAAGUAGCUGUGUAGAGCUCUGUACAUUAAAUGGCCUGAUGGUUCACCAGAGGAUGUCGAAGGGAGGGUCCUCGUGCGGAUGCAGCCAGUGAAGCUCGGAGCCGAGCAGAGUCUUGAGCUCGCUUGUGAACUCCACCAAGUCCAAGAGCUCUUUGCUCUCCGGGUUAAAAGCCUCAAGGUCCGUAGCACAAGAGAACAACUGGCUGAGGGAAGUCUGUUUGUAAAACUCUGCCUCCGUGAUGGUGACCACCUCCAGGUUGGGGAAGUUGCAGCGGAAGAUGCGAGAUGACAUUUUUAGCCUCUUCACCACGUCCGAGAGCAGAAGCCAGUUCCGUGGUCUGUGGAAGCCAAGGAGAAAGAGGCUCCAAUAACUGACAGUAACUCACAGGAUUCCUGACUCUUCCCCGCAAACCCUUCCCAAUCCCAUGCUCACAAUCCCUCUGAAAGCAAGGCUGUUGCCCAGGGAUCAGAAAUAACACAUGAGCAGGUGUGUAUUUAUUAAUUCAGAGUACAGCUACCUGCAGCUUUGGGAAGGGAAGAUCCAGGAUGCAGGGGCACUGGGACCUACAAAACCUGGGCUCCUCAGUGCCCAUGUGGGCCAGCAGCCACCCCAACUUAGACACCUAAAGGUUAGCCCACCUGAAUCCAACUUUCAUUUCACAAAUAAGGAGAUGGCUUAUAGUUACUGCUACAAAAUUUAGCACUCUUGACUUCUAGAGAUGCCAAUACUAAAUACAAGUCAACAGUAAGUUGGUUUUUUGUCAGAUAAACAACAUGGUUUUAAAAUUCAAUCUUUGUAUUUGUCCACUUCAGGGAAUUAAGCUAGAUCCAUCGCCCAUGUAACAAAAACAUAGUAAAACCCACACUCCUGCAUGAUCAGUAUUUAAAACUAGCUGUCAUCAAAAUUGGUGCAAAUGGUAAACAACAGUUGCUAACAAAUCUAAUUUAUAUCUUGAAUAUAAUAGAUAAUAAACUUCCCAGGUCUUUGCUUAUUAUUAAGUACCAUAGGAUUUUCCCUAAGAUACUUAUUUGUUUGUUCCAAUUCAGAGCUCUAAACAAGUUUUGCCACAAAAUCUAGAAAAGCAGUAAUGGUGUCAUUUUGUCAUUCACAAAAGCAUGUCCACUCAGCAGCAGAACAGAAAAACCCAUGGAAUAAAAUUAACACCGUACAAACAUCAUACCCAAAUUUAAGUGCUAGAAGCACUUCUAUUUUGGGAAGUUAUAAACAAGAUGCCUGUCUGGGAUGAGGAAAGGACUUUGUGUUCAAACAUCACUUGUCCUGCUCUGGAAUAUGGCAGUAAAAAGGCUGACAAACCAACUGUUUCCCCUCUCACCUCCUAUUAGUUUAUUUCCAAAAAACCACCAGCAGUUACAGCAUUGAUCUCUCAUUUAUGUGACAUAAAUACAAACACUUUUCCCUGCUGACACAAACU
Long non-coding RNA from Passer domesticus (house sparrow), 1692 nucleotides. RefSeq lists it as uncharacterized. The record is from RefSeq and is a predicted model, not a curated record. Lineage: Eukaryota; Metazoa; Chordata; Aves; Passeriformes; Passeridae. The transcript has 2 exons.